GCUUAAUUUAAAGCCCUUUCCGCCUACACCGAAAAAAAGUCCGUUAAACCCGAACUACUUCAAGCUAAAAAUCUAGCCCACACCUUUCCGCCACACUCUUAACAAUAGCUUAAAAUAUUUUAACAUUUAAGUAAGGACGACCAAAAAAUUAACAGGAGCUAUACAAAAGUACCGCAAGGGAAAGAUGAAAUAUUAAUGAAACACAGCAAGCACAAAAAAGUAAAGAUUACAACUUGUACCUUUUGCAUCAUGGUUUAACUAGUAUAACCAAGCAAAAAGAUUUUUAGUUUGCCUCCCCGAAACUGAAUGAGCUACUUCAGGGCAGCUUACCGAGCCAACCCGUCCCUGUUGCAAGAGGGUGGGAAGACCCUGCAGUAGAGGUAAUAAGCCUAACGAAUUCAGUGAUAGCUGGUUCCUCAGGAAAAGAAUUUUAGUCCAACCUAAAGCCACAAAAUAAAUUAAAUUAAUAACUUUAGAGCAAUUCAAAUAAGGUACAGCCUGUUUGAUAUAGGACACAACCUCGAACAACGGCUAAUUUAUUAUAAUCUAAGUUAAGUGGG
RNAcentral lists this ribosomal RNA (560 nucleotides) under Ischnocnema nasuta. Its description in RNAcentral is "partial 16S ribosomal RNA". The stretch from base 216 to 560 matches the Rfam family "Bacterial large subunit ribosomal RNA", at positions 566 to 1067 of the family's 2925-position model. The record is from RNAcentral. Lineage: Eukaryota; Metazoa; Chordata; Amphibia; Anura; Brachycephalidae.